This 106-nucleotide small nuclear RNA is filed under the name Cervus elaphus hippelaphus. The record is from RNAcentral. Lineage: Eukaryota; Metazoa; Chordata; Mammalia; Artiodactyla; Cervidae.
UGCUCGCUUCGGCAGCACAUAUACUAAAACUGGAAGGAUACAGAGAAGAUUAGCAAGGCCCCUGCUCAAGGAUGACACGCAAAUUGAUGAAGCGUUCCAUAUUUUU